This 1203-nucleotide long non-coding RNA is filed under the name Heterocephalus glaber (naked mole-rat). RNAcentral describes it as "lncRNA (ENSHGLG00100041959.1)". Lineage: Eukaryota; Metazoa; Chordata; Mammalia; Rodentia; Bathyergidae. The record is from RNAcentral.
CGUAUUUCCUGUUGGCCGAGCCGCGCGUACAGCUCAUCUAUCGCUCCCAGCUCCACGCAGGUCAACACAAGCUUGGCAGGGUCUCAGUAUGUAGUCCAGACUGGCUUCGAGCUUGCAGCAAUCCACCUGUCUCACCAUCCCAAGUGCUGGGAUAACAGUUAGGAAGCCACAACUUGAAUAGGAUAAGUUCAUCAUUGGCCCUCUCAUCCAGGACAUAGGUGUACACCACUGAAGCUUGGCCUUUACUUCUGAUUGAUCAGGAAGCUGUAUGUCUGAAUGAAAAAACAACCUACAAGGGGGUUUCACCCCAUAUUCUCAUUCCUGAAUGACAAUGAUUCCCUGAGUCCUUGGACGGAAGUUGUGUCCUGGCUCUGUUUUCCUAGUGUGAAAAUCAGAUAUGAGCAAAUGGCUUUAAGGAAGUGAGGGUGACUUUAUAAGGAGCUAAUGCAGAAGAAGUCUCUUUGGAAAAAGAAACUGGCGCCUGGGACGCUUUAUGCACUGGAAGGCCAUGAACCUCAGCAUAUCUCAAGGACUUCAAGGAGAGAGGAAUUCACCCAAAUGUACAGGUUCAGAAGCAAGUGAGGUGUCUCACUAACUGUAUGUUGGUGCCAGAAAUAGCAGAGACCAAAGAGGAAUGUUUUCUUCACCCAUAGGAAGGUUCAUGGCUGAAAUGCCUAUAAAAAAAAGACAAAUUCACAAGAGAAAAGCGUAAAAAAUAUAAUCAACAUAAGUUUGAAGUAAUGUGGGAGCCUUCAGAAAUGAAGACCUAGAGCUGGGGAUUUAGCUCAGUGGUUGCCCCACCUGCUCUGUGAGCACAAAGACCCAAGUUUGAUCUCCGGCAUCAAAAAAAAAAGAAAAGAAAUGAAGACCUAAAGACCUGGGGACAACUGUAUUUGUUUUUUUUUUUUGUACCAGAGAUCAAACUCGGGUCCUUUCACUUGCAAGGCAGGUGGCGGAACCACUGAGCUAAAUCCCCGGCCCUGAAUUUUUAUGAACAGUCAAGAAGUGUAACAGGUUAUGUUCUAAUGGUAAUAAACAAGGGGGAACUUAGCUGGGCCUGUUUGUUCAGGUUCUUAUUGAUCUCUGGGUAUAGAGCAGGAUCUCUCAGAGAUUAGUUUUAGGAGCCAGUUUCAGGAGCAGGAGGUCAGAAGGUUGUUUUAUGACUUGCUUCAAGGGAGAAGAGUAGGAGCAAGUGAGAGUGAC